RNAcentral lists this ribosomal RNA (221 nucleotides) under uncultured bacterium. RNAcentral describes it as "partial 16S ribosomal RNA". It matches the Rfam family "Bacterial small subunit ribosomal RNA", at positions 585 to 793 of the family's 1533-position model. The record is from RNAcentral.
AAGUUCAGAUGUGAAAGACCCGGGGCCGUCAACCUACGGAAUAGCAUUUGUAAACUAGGCAGACUAGAGUACUGUAGAGGGGGGUAGGAAUUUCAGGUGUAGCGGUGAAAUAGCGUAGAGAUCUGAAGGAAUACCGGUGGCGAAGGCGGCCCCCCUCGGACAGAUACUGACACUCAGAUGCGAAAGCGUGGGGAGCAAACAGGAUUAGAUACCCCUGGUAG